This 540-nucleotide ribosomal RNA is filed under the name Providencia stuartii. RNAcentral describes it as "partial 23S ribosomal RNA". It matches the Rfam family "Bacterial large subunit ribosomal RNA", at positions 1 to 580 of the family's 2925-position model. The record is from RNAcentral. RNAcentral also lists the same sequence under 2 other names. Lineage: Bacteria; Pseudomonadati; Pseudomonadota; Gammaproteobacteria; Enterobacterales; Morganellaceae.
GGUUAAGCGACUAAGCGUACACGGUGGAUGCCUAGGCAAUCAGAGGCGAUGAAGGACGUGCUAAUCUGCGAAAAGCGUCGGUAAGGUGAUAUGAACCGCUAUAGCCGACGAUGUCCGAAUGGGGAAACCCAGUGCAAUUCGUUGCACUAUCGUUUGAUGAAUCCAUAGUCAAACGAGGCGAACCGAGGGAACUGAAACAUCUCAGUACCUCGAGGAAAAGAAAUCAACCGAGAUUCCCCUAGUAGCGGCGAGCGAACGGGGAGCAGCCCAGAGUCUUAAUCAGCAUCAGCAUCAGGAGAACGGUCUGGAAAGUCCGGCAGUAAAGGGUGAUAGCCCCGUAUCCGAAGGUGUUGGUGUUGUGAACUCGACGAGUAGGGCGGGACACGUGUUAUCCUGUCUGAAUAUGGGGGGACCAUCCUCCAAGGCUAAAUACUCCUGAUUGACCGAUAGUGAACCAGUACCGUGAGGGAAAGGCGAAAAGAACCCCGGCGAGGGGAGUGAAAUAGAACCUGAAACCGUGUACGUACAAGCAGUGGGAGC